RNAcentral lists this ribosomal RNA (468 nucleotides) under uncultured bacterium. RNAcentral's name for it is "partial 16S ribosomal RNA". It matches the Rfam family "Bacterial small subunit ribosomal RNA", at positions 28 to 507 of the family's 1533-position model. The record is from RNAcentral.
GACGAACGCUGGCGGCGUGCUUAACACAUGCAAGUCGAACGGAAAGGCCCUGCUUUUGUGGGGUGCUCGAGUGGCGAACGGGUGAGUAACACGUGAGUAACCUGCCCUUGAAUUUGGGAUAACUUCAGGAAACUGGGGCUAAUACCGGAUAGGAGCUCCUGCUGCAUGGUGGGGGUUGGAAAGUUUCGGCGGUUGGGGAUGGACUCGCGGCUUAUCAGCUUGUUGGUGGGGUAGUGGCUGACCAAGGCUUUGACGGGUAGCCGGCCUGAGAGGGUGACCGGCCACAUGGGGACUGAGAUACGGCCCAGACUCCUACGGGAGGCAGCAGUGGGGAAUAUUGCACAAUGGGCGGAAGCCUGAUGCAGCAACGCCGCGUGCGGGAUGACGGCCUUCGGGUUGUAAACCGCUUUCGCCUGUGACGAAGCGUGAGUGACGGUAAUGGGUAAAGAAGCACCGGCUAACUACGUG